RNAcentral lists this ribosomal RNA (515 nucleotides) under Colletotrichum gloeosporioides. RNAcentral's name for it is "eukaryotic LSU rRNA". The stretch from base 144 to 297 matches the Rfam family "5.8S ribosomal RNA". Lineage: Eukaryota; Fungi; Ascomycota; Sordariomycetes; Glomerellales; Glomerellaceae. The record is from RNAcentral.
ACAUACCUACAACUGUUGCUUCGGCGGGUAGGGUCUCCGCGACCCUCCCGGCCUCCCGCCUCCGGGCGGGUCGGCGCCCGCCGGAGGAUAACCAAACUCUGAUUUAACGACGUUUCUUCUGAGUGGUACAAGCAAAUAAUCAAAACUUUUAACAACGGAUCUCUUGGUUCUGGCAUCGAUGAAGAACGCAGCGAAAUGCGAUAAGUAAUGUGAAUUGCAGAAUUCAGUGAAUCAUCGAAUCUUUGAACGCACAUUGCGCCCGCCAGCAUUCUGGCGGGCAUGCCUGUUCGAGCGUCAUUUCAACCCUCAAGCUCUGCUUGGUGUUGGGGCCCUACAGCCGAUGUAGGCCCUCAAAGGUAGUGGCGGACCCUCCCGGAGCCUCCUUUGCGUAGUAACUUUACGUCUCGCACUGGGAUCCGGAGGGACUCUUGCCGUAAAACCCCCCAAUUUUCCAAAGGUUGACCUCGGAUCAGGUAGGAAUACCCGCUGAACUUAAGCAUAUCAAUAAGCGGAGG